RNAcentral lists this transfer RNA (75 nucleotides) under Muribaculum intestinale. Its description in RNAcentral is "tRNA-Arg". It matches the Rfam family "tRNA". From Rfam's summary of the family: Transfer RNA (tRNA) molecules are approximately 80 nucleotides in length. Their secondary structure includes four short double-helical elements and three loops (D, anti-codon, and T loops). Lineage: Bacteria; Pseudomonadati; Bacteroidota; Bacteroidia; Bacteroidales; Muribaculaceae. The record is from RNAcentral. RNAcentral also lists the same sequence under 4 other names.
GCGCCCGUAGUUCAAUGGAUAGAAUAAUGGAUUCCGGUUCCAUCGAUUGGGGUUCGACUCCCCACGGGCGUACCA